This 1116-nucleotide long non-coding RNA is filed under the name Numida meleagris (helmeted guineafowl). Its description in RNAcentral is "lncRNA (ENSNMEG00000021026.1)". The record is from RNAcentral. Lineage: Eukaryota; Metazoa; Chordata; Aves; Galliformes; Numididae.
UAAUAAUCUGAUUAAACAGAAAUGAACACUCAACUGGUUUCUAAUUCUAAGAUUAAUUGCAGUGGGUUAGCUAAUUAGCAGGCAUUGAAUAAACCUGUGAGAAUGACUUGCUUUUUGAAACUUUUAUCAGAGGCAAAGCUGAGGCAGGCUCCCAGUCUCAUUAACGGUGUAAAUAGCCCCAGUGGCUGUGCUGCAGCCAGGCAGGAGCACUCCACUGCUCUCCAGUUAUCGCAGGAAUUGUCAUAAAGUAGAGAACUUGUAGUCGGGUGCAGAAAAUCAGGCGUACUCUGGAGUCCUCCGUUUGCCUCCGUGUGCUUCCAAGUUUUUUCUUUUGUUUUGUUCUUUUUUGAGAAGAAUUGGAUGUCCAGAGAAGUUAUUGGGUUGAAACUGAAACAGUCUCAGACUUAUCUUAGUGGGCCAGCACACUGUGUCCCUGUUCAAGAUGCCUCAUACUUCUGAGUGGGUAAAGGAUGAGAUCAGCUUCAUGGCAUUGCCCCAUCUCCGGCUGUCCUUCUACAUCACCAUGUCAUGUUUGUCUGGUUAUCAUGCAUUGAAAUUAUUGUCAACAAAGUUUGUCACUGUGCGGUGGUGAAAUUACCAUUCUACAAUAAGACUUUGGAAAGUUGUACGCUGAGAGUACGGAGCGGUUUUUUUGCCUUUGUCAUCUGUCAACGUUGCAGGUUGACUGCCAGCUGUUUCCCAGUAGCCUUCUCAGGAGCAAGAGGACUUUCUCUACUGGUCCAUAAAAAUAUACCUCUGCUGUUGCCACUAAACUUUAUGUAAGCCAUAAAGUAUCUUUUGGCUCUAGUUUGGAACAAGGAGAAUGUUUGCGCAAUGAAUAUCAGACAUUUUCAAUGUUAAUGUGUAAUGUCUGUUGGCAGGGUUGUCUGUAAAGAUUUUUUAGCCAGCCAAAUGUUACUUCUGUUUCACUCAGCACUCAUGUCUGUCAUGGGAUAGGAAGAAUAACAGGUUGUAUUAAAAUUGGCUGCAGGCGGUCUCAUUUUUUCCUUGUUGCUAGCCUUUUGAGUAACUCCUGGCAGCAGUUACAUAUAAAACACGUUCUUUUUCAAGCUUUCUUUAAAUGGCUAUGGAUAAGGAAGUGCACUACUGAAAAAC